AACGAACGCUGGCGGCAUGCCUAACACAUGCAAGUCGAACGAGACCUUCGGGUCUAUUGGCGCACGUGUGCGUAACGCGUGGGAACCUGCCCUUAACUUCUGAAUAACUCCCCGAAUGGGGUGCUAAUACCGGAUAAUCGCUUCGGACCAAAGAUUUAUCCCCUUUGGAUGGGCCGGCGUUGGAUUAGCUAGUUGGUAGGGUAAAAGCCUACCAAGGCGACCAUCCAUCGCUGGUCUGCGAGGAUGAUCAGCCACACUGGGACUGAGACACGGCCCAGACUCCGACGGGAGGCAGCAGUGGGGAAUAUUGGACAAUGGGCGAAAGCCUGAUCCAGCAAUGCCGCGUGAGUGAUGAAGGCCUUAGGGUUGUAAAGCUCUCUUACCCGGGAUGAUAAUGACAGUCCCGGGAGAAUAAGCUCCGGCUAACUUCGUG
Molecule: ribosomal RNA, 433 nt
Filed under: uncultured bacterium
Lineage: Bacteria
Description: partial 16S ribosomal RNA
Rfam family: Bacterial small subunit ribosomal RNA
Source: RNAcentral